Molecule: transfer RNA, 65 nt
Filed under: Xenos vesparum
Lineage: Eukaryota; Metazoa; Arthropoda; Insecta; Strepsiptera; Xenidae
Description: tRNA-His
Source: RNAcentral
AUUUAAGUAGUUUAUAAAAAUUUUAAAAUGUGGUUUAAAGGUAUUAGUAAUUUUAAAUUUCUAUA